Molecule: small nuclear RNA, 105 nt
Organism: Otolemur garnettii (small-eared galago)
Lineage: Eukaryota; Metazoa; Chordata; Mammalia; Primates; Galagidae
Source: Ensembl
GUGCUCAUGUCAGCAGCACAUCUACUAAACUGGAACGAUACAAGGAGAUUAGCACAGCCCUGGUGCAAGGAUGACACACAAGUUCAUGAAGUGUUCCAUAUUUUU